CAGCAGGCGCGCAAAUUACCCNCUCCCGGCACGGGGAGGUAGUGACGAAAAAUAACGAUACGGGACUCAUCCGAGGCCCCGUAAUCGGAAUGAGAACACUUUUAAAACCUUUAACGAGUAUCCAUUGGAGGGCAAGUCUGGUGCCAGCAGCCGCGGUAAUUCCAGCUCCAAUAGCGUAUAUUAAAGUUGUUGCGGUUAAAAAGCUCGUAGUUGGAUCUGUGUCCCACGCUGUCGGUUCACCGUUCGUCGGUGUUUAACUGGCAUGCCCGUGCGGACGUCCUGCCGGUGGAUGCGGUCGGCCGCGGGGCCUCCGGGUUCUGCGCGUCGGCGGUCCGAUGCAAUCCUACCGCGGUGCUCUUCACCGAGUGUCGAGGUGGGCCGGCACGUUUACUUUGAACAAAUUAGAGUGCUCAAAGCAGGCAGUGGUUCGCCUGAAUAUUGUGUGCAUGGAAUAAUGGAAUAGGACCUCGGUUCUAUUUUGUUGGUUUUCGGAACUUGAGGUAAUGAUUAACAGGGACAAACGGAGGCAUCCGUAUUGCGACGUUAGAGGUGAAAUUCUUGGAUCGUCGCAAGACGAACUUAAGCGAAAGCAUUUGCCGAGCGUGUUUUCAUUAAUCAAGAACGAAAGUUAGAGGUUCGAAGGCGAUCAGAUACCGCCCUAGUUCUAACCAUAAACGAUGCCAGCUAGCGAUCCGUCGAAGUUCCUCCGAUGACUCGGCGGGCAGCUUCCGGGAAACCAAAGCUUUUGGGUUCCGGGGGAAGUAUGGUUGCAAAGCUGAAACUUAAAGGAAUUGACGGAAGGGCACCACCAGGAGUGGAGCCUGCGGCUUAAUUUGACUCAACACGGGAAACCUCACCAGGCCCGGACACCGGAAGGAUUGACAGAUUGAGAGCUCUUUCUUGAUUCGGUGGGUGGUGGUGCAUGGCCGUUCUUAGU
This 937-nucleotide ribosomal RNA is filed under the name Isagoras asperus. RNAcentral describes it as "SSU rRNA". It matches the Rfam family "Eukaryotic small subunit ribosomal RNA", at positions 426 to 1298 of the family's 1831-position model. The record is from RNAcentral. Lineage: Eukaryota; Metazoa; Arthropoda; Insecta; Phasmatodea; Pseudophasmatidae.